GACGAACGCUGGCGGCGUGCUUAACACAUGCAAGUCGAACGGAAAGGCCUCUUUCGGGGGGUACUCGAGUGGCGAACGGGUGAGUAACACGUGAGUAACCUGCCCUUGACUUUGGGAUAACUUCAGGAAACUGGGGCUAAUACCGGAUAGGAGCUCCUGCUGCAUGGUGGGGGUUGGAAAGUUUCGGCGGUUGGGGGUGGACUCGCGGCUUAUCAGCUUGUUGGUGGGGUAGUGGCUUACCAAGGCUUUGACGGGUAGCCGGCCUGAGAGGGUGACCGGCCACAUUGGGACUGAGAUACGGCCCAGACUCCUACGGGAGGCAGCGGUGGGGAAUAUUGCACAAUGGGUGGAAGCCUGAUGCAGCAACGCCGUGUGCGGGAUGACGGCCUUCGGGUUGUAAACCGCUUUCGCUCAUGACGAAGCUUUGUGUGACGGUAGUGGGUAAAGAAGCACCGGCUAACUACGUG
Molecule: ribosomal RNA, 467 nt
Filed under: uncultured bacterium
Lineage: Bacteria
Description: partial 16S ribosomal RNA
Rfam family: Bacterial small subunit ribosomal RNA
Source: RNAcentral